RNAcentral lists this ribosomal RNA (450 nucleotides) under uncultured Glomeromycotina. RNAcentral describes it as "SSU rRNA". It matches the Rfam family "Eukaryotic small subunit ribosomal RNA", at positions 569 to 1026 of the family's 1831-position model. The record is from RNAcentral. Lineage: Eukaryota; Fungi; Glomeromycota.
AGCAGCCGCGGUAAUUCCAGCUCCAAUAGCGUAUAUUAAAGUUGUUGCAGUUAAAAGCUCGUAGUUGAAUUUCGGGGUUAGUAGGUCGGUCGUGCCUCAGGUAUGUACUGGUCUCACUGAUUCCUCCUUCCUGAUGAACCGUAAUGCCAUUAAUUUGGUGUUGCGGGGAAACUGGACUGUUACUUUGAAAAAUUAGAGUGUUUAAAGCAGGCUAACGCUUGAAUACAUUAGCAUGGGAUAAUGAAAUAGGACGUUCGAUCCUAUUUUGUUGGUUUCUAGGAUUGACGUAAUGAUUAAUAGGGAUAGUUGGGGGCAUUAGUAUUCAAUUGUCAGAGGUGAAAUUCUUGGAUUUAUUGAAGACUAACUACUGCGAAAGCAUUUGCCAAGGAUGUUUUCAUUAAUCAAGAACGAAAGUUAGGGAUCGAAGACGAUCAGAUACCGUCGUAGUCU